AAGGAGAGGAAGAGAGAACCAAGAGUGAGCAAAUCUUCACCGAUUUGAGUGAUUCAAAAAUCUAAAUCACCUAGAACUUUCCUCUCUUUCAUAAUCCUAGCUUAGUUUUUAGUGGAGAGCGUUGAGGAGUGGGAUAUCCUCCUCCAAAAAUUCGGCCCGUUGGAUAAAUUGAGGUGUUUGAUGGCUUCUACCUCCAUGGAAGCUUGAGGGGCAACAUUUCCAUUGUGGUGUGAUCCUUGGUGGAUUGAGGCAUUUGGACCAACCGUGAGUGAGCAACCAUUGGAGCAAGCUAUGGAGCUUGAUUAGCUCUUGGAAUAGGUGUGUUACUUGUAAGUCAUAGUUGAAACCAGAGUUGAUUGGUUGCUGAACCUGUUGGUGGUGAACAAAGGUUGAACUGAAGCUUUGAGGUAAGUAUGUUGCAGGAGCCAACAGUGGCAAAUGGCCAUACUUGGACUAGUAGUGAUGCAUGAGGAUCCUGUCUUUUGAUAUUAUACAUGUCAUUUUGUAGUUCACAUGUAUAGGAUUGUUAAUUGAUAGCCAAUGGAUGGAUGUAGAUUCUGUGUAUUUGGAAUGAACUUAGCCUAUGCUCAUGCCUUUGAUUAUCUCUUUUGUUGAUGGGAGCCAAGGGAGUGAUCGUAGUGUUUUGUAAGCUAAGUUCCAGGAUUUGUAAUAAACAUGAUCUGUAAUUGAUGAUUACUUUAAGUUCAAUAUAUGCA
This is a long non-coding RNA of Gastrolobium bilobum, 716 nucleotides long. RefSeq lists it as uncharacterized. The transcript has 4 exons. The record is from RefSeq and is a predicted model, not a curated record. Lineage: Eukaryota; Viridiplantae; Streptophyta; Magnoliopsida; Fabales; Fabaceae.